GCGCUCGUGGCCCAACCGGCAGAGGCACCGGCCCGAGGAGCCGGAGGUGCGGGUUCGAGUCCCGCCGAGCGUAC
This 74-nucleotide transfer RNA is filed under the name Actinoallomurus iriomotensis. Its description in RNAcentral is "tRNA-Leu". It matches the Rfam family "tRNA". Rfam says of the family: Transfer RNA (tRNA) molecules are approximately 80 nucleotides in length. Their secondary structure includes four short double-helical elements and three loops (D, anti-codon, and T loops). The record is from RNAcentral. Lineage: Bacteria; Bacillati; Actinomycetota; Actinomycetes; Streptosporangiales; Thermomonosporaceae.